RNAcentral lists this transfer RNA (99 nucleotides) under Clostridiales bacterium. RNAcentral's name for it is "tRNA-Sec". It matches the Rfam family "Selenocysteine transfer RNA". Lineage: Bacteria; Bacillati; Bacillota; Clostridia; Eubacteriales. The record is from RNAcentral.
GGGGGUGGAUCCGGCCUGGUGGCCGGCCCGGACUUCAAAUCCGGCCGUGAGGCAGCGUGCGUUGUCUCAGGUGUGUUCGAUUCGCACACAUCCCCGCCA